This 459-nucleotide ribosomal RNA is filed under the name uncultured bacterium. RNAcentral describes it as "bacterial SSU rRNA". It matches the Rfam family "Bacterial small subunit ribosomal RNA", at positions 32 to 521 of the family's 1533-position model. The record is from RNAcentral.
AAUCAACGCUGGCGGCGUGCCUAACACAUGCAAGUCGAACGAGAAAGUGGAGCAAUCCAUGAGUACAGUGGCGCACGGGUGAGUAACACGUGACUACCUACCCUCGAGUGGGGAAUAACCUCGGGAAACCGGGGCUAACACCGCAUAAUAUCUACGGAUCAAAUGCGAAAGCAGCUUGAGGAGGGGGUCGCGGCCGAUUAGCUAGUUGGUGAGGUAAUGGCUCACCAAGGCAAUGAUCGGUAGCCGGCCUGAGAGGGCGCACGGCCACACUGGAACUGAAACACGGUCCAGACUCCUACGGGAGGCAGCAGUGGGGAAUUUUGCGCAAUGGGGGAAACCCUGACGCAGCAACGCCGCGUGGAGGAUGAAGCCCCUUGGGUGUAAACUCCUUUCGAUCGGGACGAUUAUGACGGUACCGGAAGAAGAAGCACCGGCUAACUCUGUGCCAGCAGCCGCCGC